UGAGGAACAUGACCUUCGGCGGGGGAUAGCCGGCCCAACGGCCGGGUAAUACCGCGUACGACCACAUGGGGACAUCCCUGAGUGGUGAAAGCAGCAAUGCGCCGAUGGAGUGCCUCGCGGCCUAUCAAGCUAGUUGGUGAGGUAACGGCUCACCAAGGCGACGACGGGUAGCUGGUCUGAGAGGAUGGCCAGCCACAGUUGGGACUGAGACACGGCCCAGACCUCGUACCGGGGAGG
RNAcentral lists this ribosomal RNA (237 nucleotides) under uncultured bacterium. RNAcentral's name for it is "partial 16S ribosomal RNA". It matches the Rfam family "Bacterial small subunit ribosomal RNA", at positions 118 to 347 of the family's 1533-position model. The record is from RNAcentral.